CGUUCUUAAUUGGUGGAGCGAUUUGUCUGGUUAAUUCCGAUAACGAACGAGACUUUAACCUGCUAAAUAGUAGACUGGUCCUCUGUGCUCGUUUAGGGCGCGGCUUCUAUUGCUUCUUUAUGGAGUAGUAUAUAUAUAUAUAUAUACCAGUUUGGCCUUAAGACCCAUUUAUUAGCCGAGGAAAUUCAUUUAUUUUUUACGUCACUUCUGAUUGCCAUCGAUUGAAAUUCUCAUUAGGCUACUUCUGAUUGAUACACCAAACAAAACAAGAUCAG
Molecule: non-coding RNA, 275 nt
Filed under: Schistosoma margrebowiei
Lineage: Eukaryota; Metazoa; Platyhelminthes; Trematoda; Strigeidida; Schistosomatidae
Description: Eukaryotic small subunit ribosomal RNA
Rfam family: Eukaryotic small subunit ribosomal RNA
Source: Rfam by way of RNAcentral